This 120-nucleotide ribosomal RNA is filed under the name Streptantibioticus ferralitis. Its description in RNAcentral is "partial 16S ribosomal RNA". It matches the Rfam family "Bacterial small subunit ribosomal RNA", at positions 1 to 123 of the family's 1533-position model. The record is from RNAcentral. Lineage: Bacteria; Bacillati; Actinomycetota; Actinomycetes; Kitasatosporales; Streptomycetaceae.
UUCACGGAGAGUUUGAUCCUGGCUCAGGACGAACGCUGGCGGCGUGCUUAACACAUGCAAGUCGAACGAUGAAGCCCUUCGGGGUGGAUUAGUGGCGAACGGGUGAGUAACACGUGGGCA